This 550-nucleotide ribosomal RNA is filed under the name uncultured Burkholderia sp. RNAcentral describes it as "bacterial SSU rRNA". It matches the Rfam family "Bacterial small subunit ribosomal RNA", at positions 370 to 909 of the family's 1533-position model. Lineage: Bacteria; Pseudomonadati; Pseudomonadota; Betaproteobacteria; Burkholderiales; Burkholderiaceae. The record is from RNAcentral.
AGUGGGGGGCGGAAGGCCUGAUCCAGCAAUGCCGCGUGUGUGAAGAAGGCCUUCGGGUUGUAAAGCACUUUUGUCCGGAAAGAAAUCCUUGGCUCUAAUACCGUCGGGGGAUGACGGUACCGGAAGAAUAAGCACCGGCUAACUACGUGCCAGCAGCCGCGGUAAUACGUAGGGUGCAAGCGUUAAUCGGAAUUACUGGGCGUAAAGCGUGCGCAGGCGGUUUGCUAAGACCGAUGUGAAAUCCCCGGGCUCAACCUGGGAACUGCAUUGGUGACUGGCAGGCUAGAGUAUGGCAGAGGGGGGUAGAAUUCCACGUGUAGCAGUGAAAUGCGUAGAGAUGUGGAGGAAUACCGAUGGCGAAGGCAGCCCCCUGGGCCAAUACUGACGCUCAUGCACGAAAGCGUGGGGAGCAAACAGGAUUAGAUACCCUGGUAGUCCACGCCCUAAACGAUGUCAACUAGUUGUUGGGGAUUCAUUUCCUUAGUAACGUAGCUAACGCGUGAAGUUGACCGCCUGGGGAGUACGGUCGCAAGAUUAAAACUCAAAGAAA